RNAcentral lists this unclassified non-coding RNA (463 nucleotides) under Schistocerca americana (American grasshopper). Its description in RNAcentral is "uncharacterized LOC124607381, transcript variant X2". The record is from RNAcentral. Lineage: Eukaryota; Metazoa; Arthropoda; Insecta; Orthoptera; Acrididae.
UAAUCCUGCCAGUGCAUUCUUUUGUAGUGACUCAGUGAAAAUAAUAAAAUUAUGAUCAGUUGACUAUUUUUGACAAAUUUAUUUCUGUGAUUUAGGACCAGAAAACCAAGGGCCGCUGAGAAAGUAAAAAACAUCCUACCAUACCAAGAUAUUCUUUACUAAUAAGGUGAUCUUAAAAUAUCUGCUGAGAAAUACAGAGAUUUACAAGACUUGAAAAGAUUUUGCCAUAGUGAAGUGCAAGUGUAUUUUGAUCAUCUUUGGCAUUAACCCACCAUCGAAAAAGCACAGGACCUUUUAUAGAAGAUUAUUAAAUGAUUAUAUGAGAUAAUUUGUUGUAACAUGAAUUUGAAAUCUUGUAGUUACCUGCAAUAUGUUAUGAACUUGGCAUAAUUUUCCUCUGUAUGGCCUGCCUUCAUAAUAAAAAUGCAUCAUAUUAUUGUAAAUCCUAUUCAGAUGUGUAUAA